Molecule: ribosomal RNA, 207 nt
Filed under: uncultured bacterium
Lineage: Bacteria
Description: partial 16S ribosomal RNA
Rfam family: Bacterial small subunit ribosomal RNA
Source: RNAcentral
CGCGUAGGCGGCUUAGUAAGUCGGAUGUGAAAGCCCCGGGCUUAACCUGGGAACUGCAUUCGAUACUGCUGGGCUAGAGUAUGGAAGAGGGAAGUGGAAUUCCGGGUGUAGCGGUGAAAUGCGUAGAUAUCCGGAGGAACACCAGUGGCGAAGGCGACUUCCUGGGCCAAUACUGACGCUGAGGUGCGAAAGCGUGGGGAGCAAACA